UUCUGGCCUCACCAUCUUACUGGCUGCAGCAGAUUAAGCUGUCUGAGGCUGCUGGCAAGCACUCGAUUUCACUCGGGUUUUUCAAACUAGCCUUGGAGGCUGAAUGUGAGUCUCUUCAACUGCGUUAUGAGCUCAAAUCUUACGUUGAUCGCUACGAGCUUAGUGACCUUGAAGACCCUCUGAAGGAAUUACUGGAGAGCAAAAGUGUUGCAUAGUAAGUUCAAAAGCCAUAAGACCGCCAACAUAGGAGAUAUGGCGUAAAAGCAAAUCAUUGGCGUACCUUGGCUGCCAACGUGAGGAAAAUACUUAAAUCGUCGUUGGAGAAUCACCUCCAUAACUUCUGCUCCUAUAAGUUUAGCAGCAUCAAUUGCAAGCUCUGUCACAGUUGGUCCCGUAAUAUCAACAGAAUUUCCAUAAGACGAGAAUAAUAAAAUAUCAGUGUCAGCAUAGAAUUUCUGCAUUGCAACUGGAUUUCCGAUUGUUGCAGGAUUGCUCAUAUAUUCUUC
Molecule: non-coding RNA, 506 nt
Organism: Malus domestica (apple)
Lineage: Eukaryota; Viridiplantae; Streptophyta; Magnoliopsida; Rosales; Rosaceae
Source: RefSeq, a predicted model, not a curated record